This 840-nucleotide ribosomal RNA is filed under the name Peripatopsis clavigera. RNAcentral describes it as "bacterial SSU rRNA". It matches the Rfam family "Eukaryotic small subunit ribosomal RNA", at positions 1173 to 1760 of the family's 1831-position model. Lineage: Eukaryota; Metazoa; Onychophora; Udeonychophora; Euonychophora; Peripatopsidae. The record is from RNAcentral.
GGAGUGGAGCCUGCGGCUUAAUUUGACUCAACACGGGGAACCUCACCCGGCCCGGACACCGCGAGGAUUGACAGAUUGAGAGCUCUUUCUCGAUUCGGUGGGUGGUGGUGCAUGGCCGUUCUUAGUUGGUGGAGCGAUUUGUCUGGUUAAUUCCGAUAACGAACGAGACUCUAGCCGGUUAAGUAGCCCGAGCGGUUUUUGAUCUUUGCCGUUCAUCCUCGUUCGACCUUUAGGCGUCGUCCCCCUUUUGUUCGGCCCGUCUCCGUCGUUUUUCCUUUUCUCCGUUUCCUCUCGUCUUCCCGAUCGUCCGUCGGACUCGUUCGACGGUUUUCGUGGUUUUCGAGGGGUUUUCGGUCGGAGGGGGCGGCGGAGCGGUCCGUUCAGGGGGGUAUACGCGGGGCCGUUUCGAGGUGAAAGCAUAACCGAAGGCCGCCGGCUUUUAAGGAAGCUUCUUAGAGGGACGAGCGGCGUUCAGCCGCCCGAGAUUGAGCGAUAACAGGUCUGUGAUGCCCUUAGAUGUCCGGGGCCGCACGCGCGCUACACUGAAGGGUUCAGCGUGCUAGUUUCUCCCGGGCCGUCAGGCUCGGGGAACCCGUUGAAACCCUUUCGUGCUAGGGACAGGGACUUGCAAUUGUGUCCCUCCAACGAGGAAUUCCCAGUAAGCGCGAGUCAUCAGCUCGCGUUGAUUACGUCCCUGCCCUUUGUACACACCGCCCGUCGCUACUACCGAUUGAACGAUUUAGUGAGGUCUUCGGACCGGUGGUCGUUCCGCGAUCGGGUCAGGAAAACGGUCUCGCGCCCUUUCCUCCCGCGCGGGGUCGGCCGGCCGGGAAGAUGCCC